This is a long non-coding RNA of Dromaius novaehollandiae (emu), 1411 nucleotides long. RefSeq lists it as uncharacterized. The record is from RefSeq and is a predicted model, not a curated record. Lineage: Eukaryota; Metazoa; Chordata; Aves; Casuariiformes; Dromaiidae. The transcript has 2 exons.
CUGGGCUCGGCUCCGCCGGGAGCGAGCGCUUCCUGCCCGCGCCGCCCCGCGCCCGGCAUGCACAGCGCCGCCGCCGCCCGCGCCCCGCCGCGCCGCCCCGCGCCGAGCCCAGCCCGCCCGGCUGCGGGCACACACCGAGCGGCGGCGGCGGAGGCGGCGGCGGCGCGGCGGGCCCGCACUGCGCUCAGCUCUCAGGUUGGAGGCUCCGCCCGCAGCCUUUCCCGGCCCUGGCCCCGGCGCCGCGCCGCGGCCCGCAGCUGCCCGCGCCGCCGGGCAGGCUCCGCUCACCGAUGGUCCCUGCGCCAGCGCCCGCGGGGCGGCCGCGCUCGGGCCGCCGCGGCUGUAGCGUCGCCCUUUACGGACAGUCUUUAAAUGCCCCCUUAGUGUUAAUGCAGAAGGCGAGCCUCGGCACUCCCGAGGGCCUGCCUUUCUGUUCCCUUUCCGAAACGAAAAGUAUUAGUAACAAGACAAUUUGCACGGAGAUGAGGGCAGGUCUUGCCAAGAGUAUCUGCUCCCGCUCCCGCUCCCGCUCCCGCCGGGAGCCCCGCGAGCUUGCAGUGUCGCAAGGCGCUACCACAGGAAAGUACCCUGAUGUCGCGCAGAGGGCUACGAUGUCUGUGGGCAGGAAGAACACGGGCACAUGCACCUUCCACCCAGGAAUGCGGAACGGCUAACCUACUGGAAGUGUCGGGAAUGACUGCACACUUCUCACCUACAGCCACCCAGGAAAGUACAAGACAUUUUCUCUAGAAGCUCUGGGAUCAAUACACCUUUUUUUUUUUUUUUUUUUUUUUUUUUAGUGCCAUGGAAUGCUCUCCUGCUAAUUUUAUAUGCUGUUUUGAAAUGCUGGUAUUUCAAAGGUGCUUACAGGUAUGACUCACCUAACACGAUCACUUAAUCAAAUAUUUAAUCCCUAUUUAUACUCAAGAAAAAUCCCACUGAAGACAAUGCUAGAUAUUUGCUAUUUGCUGCAUGGGAAGUUAAACAUCAAGUGCUGCAUCACUGCAAGUUUAGAUCAGCAUGUUUCUUAUGUCUGAGAAGAUCUGAGUGGAGGUAGAAUGGCAAGAUCAACACUUUCCCUGGUUCCUUCCAUUGGUAAAAGCAGUGGGAAAAGAUGAGAAAUACAAAAAAUACAAAUUGUUACUGUAACCUCUGCCUGUUUAUUCUCUGAGUUCACCUAGGCCAUGUCUUUAGCAACUACCCAUCUUUCUAUGUUGAAUCUUUCACUCUCAUGAUACACCUCACAAGGCUUUCCUAUGUGUCAUCUGUGAGCCAUCACAGUAGGUCUGACCAGCUCCAGAACCAGAACUCUCUUUCCUGUGAAGCUGUGAGAGUGACAAUCUACAAUCUAACAACUAAAUGUUUAUGGAGAAUGAAAGCAUUUUCAAGAAAAUAAAAACAAACAUAUGUA